CAGCCGCCGCGGUAAUACGAAGGGUGCAAGCGUUAAUCGGAAUUACUGGGCGUAAAGCGUGCGUAGGCGGUGAGUUAAGUCUGCUGUGAAAUCCCCGGGCUCAACCAGGGAAUGGCAGUGGAUACUGGCUCGCUAGAGUGUGUCAGAGGAUGGUGGAAUUCCCGGUGUAGCGGUGAAAUGCGUAGAGAUCGGGAGGAACAUCAGUGGCGAAGGCGGCCAUCUGGGACAACACUGACGCUGAGGCACGAAAGCGUGGGGAGCAAACAGGAUUAGAUACCCCUGUAGUCCCUGUCUCUUAUAC
Molecule: ribosomal RNA, 301 nt
Filed under: uncultured bacterium
Lineage: Bacteria
Description: partial 16S ribosomal RNA
Rfam family: Bacterial small subunit ribosomal RNA
Source: RNAcentral